This 255-nucleotide ribosomal RNA is filed under the name uncultured bacterium. RNAcentral's name for it is "partial 16S ribosomal RNA". It matches the Rfam family "Bacterial small subunit ribosomal RNA", at positions 524 to 776 of the family's 1533-position model. The record is from RNAcentral.
UACGUAGGGUGCAAGCGUUAUCCGGAAUUAUUGGGCGUAAAGAGCUCGUAGGCGGUUUGUCGCGUCUGCUGUGAAAACUGGAGGCUCAACCUCCAGCCUGCAGUGGGUACGGGCAGACUAGAGUGCGGUAGGGGAGAUUGGAAUUCCUGGUGUAGCGGUGGAAUGCGCAGAUAUCAGGAGGAACACCGAUGGCGAAGGCAGAUCUCUGGGCCGUAACUGACGCUGAGGAGCGAAAAGCAUGGGGGAGCGAACAGG